CCCGCCAGUGGCUGCCGACGUGGGUCUGCCGGCUGCGGGAGGUUAGCUGUGAGUGGCUGUGGAGCGGGCGGCGGGCAUGGGUGGCCUGCGGCUGCUGGCGGUAGCCCUCACGUGCUGCUGGUGGCCGCAGGGCAGCCAGGCCAAGACCCUGCGGGGCAGCUUCAGUAGCGCCGCGGCCCGCAACGCUCAGGGCCAGAGCAUCGGCCACUUCGAGUUCCACGGUGACCAUGCCCUUCUGUGUGUCAGAAUCAACAACAUAGCAGUAGCUCUUGGCAAAGAAGCUAAACUCUACCUAUUCCAAGCCCAGGAAUGGCUAAAACUGCAGGAGAGCAGUCCUGGCUAUAGUUGUAGUGAAAAAUUAUCCAGAGCUCAGUUGACAAUGACAAUGAACCAGACUGAACAUAAUCUGACUGUGUCCCAGAUUCUGUCUCCCCAAACGUGGCAUGUGUUUUAUGCAGACAAGUAUACCUGCAUAGACAACAAAGAAAACUCUCAAGUGGAAGACAUCCCCUUUGAAAUGGUGUUACUGAACCCAGAUGCUGAAGGGAAUCCAUUGGAUCAUUUUAGUGCUGGAGAAUCUGGGUUACAUGAGUUCUUUUUCCUCCUAGUCCUAGUAUACUUUGUGAUUGCUUGCAUUUAUGCUCAGUCAUUGUGGCAGGCUAUUAAGAAAGGAGGACCCAUGCACAUGAUAUUAAAGGUUCUGACAACUGCAUUGCUGUUACAAGCUGGUUCAGCUUUAGCUAAUUACAUUCAUUUCUCCAGGUACUCCAAAGAUGGAAUAGGGGUACCUCUUAUGGGAAGUUUUGCAGAAGUUUUUGACAUUGCCUCUCAGAUUCAGAUGUUAUACCUACUUCUGAGUCUCUGCAUGGGCUGGACAAUAGUCAGAAUGAAGAAAUCUCAAAGCAGACCUCUCCAAUGGGACUCUACCCCUGCGUCCACAGGCAUUGCAGUGUUCAUUGUUGUAACACAGAGUAUUUUGCUGCUUUGGGAACAGUUUGAAGAGACAAGUCAUCACAGCUCACAUUCACACCACAGCUUAGCAGGAAUCCUGCUCAUUGUUCUAAGGAUUUGCCUAGCAUUGUCAUUGGGCUGUGGACUCUAUCAGAUCAUCACAAUGGAGAGGAGCACACUCAAGAGAGAGUUCUAUAUCACAUUUGCCAAAGGCUGUAUCUUGUGGUUCUUAUGCCAUCCAGUUCUUGCUUGCAUUUCUGUCAUUUUUAGCGACUACCAAAGAGAAAAGGUUAUUACAAUAGGUGUUAUCCUUUGCCAGUCUGUUUCCAUGGUUAUUCUCUACAGACUCUUCCUGUCCCAUAGUCUAUACUGGGAAGUUUCUUCACUUUCAUCAGUAACACUACCACUGACAAUUUCAUCAGGACACAAAAGUCGCCCUUAUUUCUGAUACUUGAUUUUUGUUGAAAGGACAAGUGAUUGAAUGAAAGUGCAAUAAGGAAAAUACAGUGACUCUUUUCAUGUGUUUGAUAUGAAAAAGUGAAAGCCAAGUGUGUUAUUUAUAUAACUGCAUUUCAGCAGUACCAAAACUCAGAAAAGAGGGUCAUCGCUACAGAUUACAGAAAGAUGAAAACUUUUCUAAUUUAUUUCUCCUGUCAGAUAAUACUUUCUUUUUUACAUUUUUACAUUUUUUUCCCAUAAAGAGAAAUGGUCUGCUGACACCUUUAAGAAGCAUUUCUUCUAAGAAGACAUGAAGAUGUUUCUUUUUAUUGGCAUAUAUAACAAUAUGAAUACUUAAUGUUUAUCAGGACAUUUUAGCUUUAUUAUAACUAAGCCCUGAUGCAGUAGCCAAGUUCCCAUUUAACUGAGUAGGAAA
This is an RNA transcript of Nannospalax galili (Upper Galilee mountains blind mole rat), 1825 nucleotides long. It is a transcript of the gene named G protein-coupled receptor 180, with no coding region annotated. The record is from RefSeq and is a predicted model, not a curated record. Lineage: Eukaryota; Metazoa; Chordata; Mammalia; Rodentia; Spalacidae. The transcript is spliced from 10 exons.